AGUCGAGGGGUAGAAUAGCAAUAUUUGAGACCGGCGCACGGGUGCGUAACGCGUAUGCAAUCUACCUUUUACAGAGGGAUAGCCCAGAGAAAUUUGGAUUAAUACCUCAUAGUAUAGUGAGUUGGCAUCAACACACUAUUAAAGUCACAACGGUAAAAGAUGAGCAUGCGUCCCAUUAGCUAGUUGGUAAGGUAACGGCUUACCAAGGCAACGAUGGGUAGGGGUCCUGAGAGGGAGAUCCCCCACACUGGUACUGAGACACGGACCAGACUCCUACGGGAGGCAGCAGUGAGGAAUAUUGGUCAAUGGGCGCAAGCCUGAACCAGCCAUGCCGCGUGCAGGAUGACGGUCCUAUGGAUUGUAAACUGCUUUUGCACAGGAAGAAACACUACCUCGUGAGGUAGCUUGACGGUACUGUGAGAAUAAGGAUCGGCUAACUCCGUGCCAGCAGCCGCGGUAAUACGGAGGAUCCAAGCGUUAUCCGGAAUCAUUGGGUUUAAAGGGUCCGUAGGCGGCCAGAUAAGUCAGUGGUGAAAGCCCAUCGCUCAACGAUGGAACGGCCAUUGAUACUGUUUGGCUUGAAUUAUUUGGAAGUAACUAGAAUAUGUAGUGUAGCGGUGAAAUGCUUAGAGAUUACAUGGAAUACCAAUUGCGAAGGCAGGUUACUACAAAAUUGAUUGACGCUGAUGG
Molecule: ribosomal RNA, 690 nt
Filed under: Flavobacterium psychrophilum
Lineage: Bacteria; Pseudomonadati; Bacteroidota; Flavobacteriia; Flavobacteriales; Flavobacteriaceae
Description: bacterial SSU rRNA
Rfam family: Bacterial small subunit ribosomal RNA
Source: RNAcentral